GGAAGAAGAAAGGAAAACAAUACUCAUUUAGAGGAUUGUGAAUUAAAUUGUUUGCUUGCUGGGCUGUUAAUUUUUGCUCAAGCUUUAUGUUGUUUAUUGCAUUCAUUAUGCAGUGGGUUACCUUUUCCCAUCGGUAGCAUUGUCUUGAACCUUUGUAUUCUCAGUUUGAUUCUACUUUUUAUCGACUCCUGCAUUUCUAGGUAAUUGUGGAGAAGGCUGAGAGAAGUGAUAUCCCCAAAAUUGACAAGAAAAAGGGCAGUAAUGUCUACAAUAUAUGAU
This 279-nucleotide unclassified non-coding RNA is filed under the name Hevea brasiliensis (rubber tree). The record is from RNAcentral. Lineage: Eukaryota; Viridiplantae; Streptophyta; Magnoliopsida; Malpighiales; Euphorbiaceae.